Long non-coding RNA from Aegilops tauschii subsp. strangulata, 749 nucleotides. RefSeq lists it as uncharacterized. Lineage: Eukaryota; Viridiplantae; Streptophyta; Magnoliopsida; Poales; Poaceae. The record is from RefSeq and is a predicted model, not a curated record.
CUCGCCCCUCACCUGUGCCACUCCAUCCAGUACACUGUUGCAAUCCCUAUUCCCAUCUCUAUAAUCCGGCUGGAUCUCCAUUGCUUCGAUCUCCCUCUUACCUACUCCUUCCGUUUCAAAUUACUCGUCGAGUAAAACCACGACGAGUAAUUUGGAACGGAGGGAGUACAUCUCUGGCCAUGGCAUCUUCUGCUUCCUCAGUUCCUGUCGGAUCGGUCGCCGCACCCGAAGACGUCGCUCCUCUCCCCCUCAUCCGGUGCCCUAGAUGCAACAUGGGGGUGAUUUAGUGGUUCAUCUCCGAGACCCCCUUGAAUCCCAGUCGUCAUUUCUACAAAGUGUCACUUCCGCGAUUCUGGUCAUUGCACCUUCUGGGAAUGGGACAACAUGUACAUCGACUACCUACGCGCUCGAUAUGUUUCUUCCCCCACCUCCUCUGCUCCAGGAUCUUCCUACUGUGGUCCUGCAUGACAUUCAGUCCGACCUGAAGAUUUCACUGGCCGUCGCCCUUGGUACUCUUGCUGCUGUACUGACGCUUCUAGUCUCCAAAAUGUAGCUCCGUUGGAAUUAUGUAAUAGUUUUAUCUCUAAUUAGUAUGAUCACUACGCCAAGCAGCUGCCUAUCCAUGUAAUACAUAGUUCUGAUCCAGUGCCAUCUUAGUUAACUGUGGUAGUACCUCCGUAAAUUUUCAAUUCUGUCAUACAGAAGUUCUACUGUAACUGUCUCCAAUGCAAUAUAAUAUGAUUGUGUCA